RNAcentral lists this ribosomal RNA (253 nucleotides) under uncultured bacterium. RNAcentral describes it as "partial 16S ribosomal RNA". It matches the Rfam family "Bacterial small subunit ribosomal RNA", at positions 524 to 776 of the family's 1533-position model. The record is from RNAcentral.
UACAGAGGGUGCGAGCGUUGUCCGGAAUUACUGGGCGUAAAGAGCUCGUAGGUGGUUUGUCGCGUUGUUCGUGAAAACUCACAGCUUAACUGUGGGCGUGCGGGCGAUACGGGCAGACUUGAGUACUGCAGGGGAGACUGGAAUUCCUGGUGUAGCGGUGGAAUGCGCAGAUAUCAGGAGGAACACCGGUGGCGAAGGCGGGUCUCUGGGCAGUAACUGACGCUGAGGAGCGAAAGCGUGGGGAGCGAACAGG